GACUGCUAUUGGAUGAUACUAAGCCAUGCGAGUCUUUGUAGUAAUACAAGGCAGACGGCUCAGUAACACGUAGUCAACCUACCCUAUGGACAAGAAUAAUCUCGGGAAACUGGGCAUAAUUCUUGAUAGAUCAUAAUGCCUGGAAUGGUUUAUGGUUAAAAUGAUUCGUCGCCAUAGGAUGGGACUGCGGCCUAUCAGCUUGUUGGUGAGGUAAUGGCCCACCAAGGCGAUUACAGGUACGGGCUCUGAGAAGAGAAGCCCGGAGAUGGGUACUGAGACACGGACCCAGGCCCUAUGGGGCGCAGCAGGCGCGAAAACUUGACAAUGCGAGAAAUCGUGAUCAGGGGACUCCAGUUGGCUGGAUCAAAAGUCCAGUCUGAACCGACUUUAAAUCGGUCGGGUAAUAGGGGCGGGAAAGACCGGUGCCAGCCGCCGCGGUAAUACCGGCGCCCCAAGUGGUCGUCACUAUUAUUGGGCCUAAAACGUCCGUAGCCGGUUUGGUAAAUCCGUGGGUAAAUCAGACAGCCUAACUGUCUGAAUUCUGCGGGGACUGCCAGACUUGAGACCGGGAGAGGUGCGGGGUACCUGCGGGGUACCGGUAAAAUGGGAUCAUCCCGUAGAGACCACCUGUUGCGAAGGCGCCGCACUAGAACGGAUCUGACGGUCAGGGACGAAGCCUAGGGGCACGAACCGGAUUAGAUACCCGGGUAGUCCUAGGUGUAAACGCUGUGGACUUGGUGUCGGGGACCUUCUGAGGGUUUCCGGUGCCGGAGUGAAGAUGUUAAGUCCACUGCCUGGGGAGUACGGUCG
This 810-nucleotide ribosomal RNA is filed under the name uncultured Candidatus Poseidoniales archaeon. RNAcentral's name for it is "SSU rRNA". It matches the Rfam family "Archaeal small subunit ribosomal RNA", at positions 25 to 843 of the family's 1478-position model. The record is from RNAcentral. Lineage: Archaea; Methanobacteriati; Thermoplasmatota; Candidatus Poseidoniia; Candidatus Poseidoniales.